Molecule: ribosomal RNA, 253 nt
Filed under: uncultured bacterium
Lineage: Bacteria
Description: partial 16S ribosomal RNA
Rfam family: Bacterial small subunit ribosomal RNA
Source: RNAcentral
UACGGAGGGGGCGAGCGUUAUUCGGAAUUACUGGGCGUAAAGGGCUCGUAGGCGGCCAACUAAGUCAGACGUGAAAUCCCUCGGCUUAACCGGGGAACUGCGUCUGAUACUGGUUGGCUUGAAUCCGGGAGAGGGAUGUGGAAUUCCAGGUGUAGCGGUGAAAUGCGUAGAUAUCUGGAGGAACACCGGUGGCGAAGGCGGCAUCCUGGACCGGUAUUGACGCUGAGGAGCGAAAGCCAGGGGAGCAAACGGG